This 111-nucleotide non-coding RNA is filed under the name Bacteroidota bacterium. Its description in RNAcentral is "Bacteroidetes bacterium TPP sequence". It matches the Rfam family "TPP riboswitch aptamer (THI element)". From Rfam's summary of the family: Vitamin B(1) in its active form thiamin pyrophosphate (TPP) is an essential coenzyme that is synthesised by coupling of pyrimidine and thiazole moieties in bacteria. The previously detected thiamin-regulatory element, thi box was extended, resulting in a new, highly conserved RNA secondary structure, the THI element, which is widely distributed in eubacteria and also occurs in some archaea. Analysis of operon structures identified a large number of new candidate thiamin-regulated genes, mostly transporters, in various prokaryotic organisms. Lineage: Bacteria; Pseudomonadati; Bacteroidota. The record is from RNAcentral.
CAAUACCAAUAGGGGUGCCUAUCUGCCUUAGGCAGAUUAAAUUCGGGCUGAGAUCAUACCCUCUGAACCUGAUCCGGGUAAUGCCGGUUAGGGAAAAGAGUAGUUACAUCC